UUGCCAGCCCGCCUCAGAAACUCAAAGGAAUUGACGGGGCCCGCACAAGCGGAGGAACAUGUGGUUUAAUUCGAUGAUACGCGAGGAACCUUACCUGGGCUUAAAUGGGGAGUGACAGCUGUCGAAAGAUGGUUUUCUUCGGACACUCUUCAAGGUGCUGCAUGGUUGUCGUCAGCUCGUGCCGUGAGGUGUCGGGUUAAGUCCCAUAACGAGCGCAACCCUUACCGUUAGUUACCAUCAGGUUAAGCUGGGGACUCUAGCGGGACUGCCACCGUAAGGUGAGAGGAAGGUGGGGAUGACGUCAAAUCAGCACGGCCCUUAUGUCCAGGGCUACACACGUGUUACAAUGGCCGGUACAAAGGGCAGCUACUUCGCGAGAAGAUGCUAAUCUCGAAAGCCGGUCUCAGUUCGGAUCGAAGUCUGCAACCCGACUUCGUGAAGCUGGAUUCGCUAGUAAUCGCGCAUCAGCCAUGGCGCGGUGAAUACGUUCCCGGGCCUU
Molecule: ribosomal RNA, 499 nt
Filed under: uncultured Sphingobacteriales bacterium
Lineage: Bacteria; Pseudomonadati; Bacteroidota; Sphingobacteriia; Sphingobacteriales
Description: bacterial SSU rRNA
Rfam family: Bacterial small subunit ribosomal RNA
Source: RNAcentral